UACGGAGGGGGCAAGCGUUGUUCGGAAUUACUGGGCGUAAAGGGCGCGCAGGCGGCUGCUCAAGUCAGGCGUGAAAGGCCUGGGCUCAACCCGGGAAUUGCGCUUGAGACUGGGCUGGCUUGAGUGCGGGAGAGGAUGGUGGAAUUCCCAGUGUAGAGGUGAAAUGCGUAGAGAUCCGGAGGAAUACCAGUGGCGAAGGCGGCACGCUGGGCCAUUACUGACGCUAAGACGCGAAAGCAUGGGUAGCGAACGGG
Molecule: ribosomal RNA, 254 nt
Filed under: uncultured bacterium
Lineage: Bacteria
Description: partial 16S ribosomal RNA
Rfam family: Bacterial small subunit ribosomal RNA
Source: RNAcentral